Molecule: long non-coding RNA, 2980 nt
Organism: Oreochromis aureus
Lineage: Eukaryota; Metazoa; Chordata; Actinopteri; Cichliformes; Cichlidae
Exons: 4
Source: RefSeq, a predicted model, not a curated record
GCACUGCCAGCACCUUGAUUUUACCAAGCAUAAUGAUGUCAGUGAUGGAAUUCAUCAUUUAACUUCACAUUUAUGUUGCAUCAAAAGCUCCAGUGAACAUUGUUUCAGCGCCAUCUGAGAAUGUAGGUCCUCAAGAUGACCUUUACUCUGACAUUGUAAUCACAUUGUCUUUCCCUUGGUUGGAAUGGAUGACCAUGAACAGGCUGGUACAACUUCAAGCCAGGACACAGACUGUACAAAUUGUUGCAUCUGUUGCAGUUUUGACACAUUUCUGCGACACUGCUGUGAUUGUUUAUCCAUUUCACCUGCUGCUUUUUGUGAAUUAUGCUUGUCAUUUGCCUGUGAUGCAUGUCUGGACCAAUUUCUUGGCUCUUUAUUUUAAGUUAGGACAUCCCAGAACUAUAAAAUUUUGACUCUUUGGAUAUUAUGGAGAUUAGGCCUACUGUCACUAGCAUGUCUGUGCACUUUUCCAUUGCUUUCAAGAAGACAACAUGUUACUGACUUGCCCUAUACUGUGCCCAUUUUUUUCCUUUAUCCUAUAUGCUGUUUAGGUGAUGUCUGUUAUUUUCAAAAUUACUUUCUAAACCGGGAUGCCAAUGUGAGAGUAAAUGGAUGACUCUUUUGCCUGUGACCUGUCUGCGAUAUAUUCUGAGUCUCACCAAAAAACAGAAAACAAAUGGAUCAAUUUGUUUUAUAGAUUAUUCAUGUAAAGAUACUAUAAAGUACAUAGUCAAGGUGGUUUCACACUUAAAGUGCCAUCAUUCAUUCAUUUAUUCACAAAGACUCAGAGAUUUAAUGCUUUGUUAAAGCAAUAAUCCACUGAGGGAUUUUUAUUACAUUUGCCCAAGUGGAGUGUAACACAAAGUGUCAGGAGAGAAAACCAUUGACUAAGCCUCCAGUUAAAUUAGCAUUGCAGUCAAAGGAAUUUAUUUUACAAUAUCAAACAGGUCUAACAAAUUUGUCACUUUUAGCUUAUCUUUCUUAAAUUCAUCUAGCAAAAACAGCACUAAUGCAGCAGCUAUGCACUUCUCAGAGUCAUGUGGCCAAUUGGCAAGGAGUACCUGCUGCUGGAGACAGAUACGAGGUUCCUCAAAUGAUCAGAAUGCUGUUGAGUUUUAGCAGUCAGGUGUGGGAGACCUAGAACAAUUAUGAUUAUGAUCAGUGUACUUCUACUGGGUCGGCACUGGAACCAACAUAACCAUCAAUGGGCAAUUAGCAUUGUUUAAACUUGCCUGAGAAGUAAGACAUGGGUUGUCUUAUACCAUCUACUCUAUUUUAUAGCAAUAGUCCUCUGCCUCCAGUGGAACUGGCAUCAACAUCCAGCUUGAAGGGCUUGGUUAACUUGUGGAUUUUUAGAACAGGGUUCACGCAAAAGGCAGAGCUGGACUACGCAAACGGUUGGCGUUACCACCAUUAAGAAAUUGCCGUUAAACACACCUGUUAUACCCAACCAGACCUAAAAACCUCUGAAGUUAAUGUCUUGUUGUGGGUGUAGGGCAGGUCAAAAUUGGAUCCAGGUUUGCAGGUAUUGGAAACACAGAUACAAGACUAAACUAAAUAUUGUGGAACUGGUGGAAUUAAAUUCUGCAAUUGACAUUCUGUUCAGUCAAUCAUAUUUUUGUUAUUAUAAUCGCAUACAUUUAAAUAUAGACACUUCUCUUUCAUUCAGUUAGCACUUUAUCACCAGCUGGUUAUGCAAACAGGACUAUUCACUCAUUCGGUGUCCAGAUGUCAGUUAGUUUGGUUUCUCUCCACACUCUUUAUCCAGGUUCUGGGCAAUGAUUUUUUAAAAUCAAGCAGAUGUUGUUAACACAGCAUUAAAACAGUGUUGACACAGUAAUUGUAAUGUGCCAAACAUUCCAUUGGGUGUCAUCCACCUAUUAGUACCCUGAAGUGUAGCUUUAGUCAACUUGUAUAGGCUCUGGAGAGCAUCCACUGACUGCAGGAUAUACAAGUGCAUGUUUUAUUACUGGUUUCAGUGUGUGUAUAUAUAUAUACACUGAUCUUAGAGCUGUUCAUAACUUUCUCACUGGAAGGUUAAAACUAUUGGCUGAUAAUGAAAAGAAAUAAAAGAAGACACUCUACAAAGGGUCUGCUACGAAUUUAAAGAUAAUUUUCUUUAAAUUAUUUGACUAAUAGUACACAUUGGUGAUGUAUCUAAUACUUAGUUGUUACGUGUCUGCAGGCUGCAAUCACAACCACCAGUUACGAAUUAUGAGAUGGUCUUUAAUCAUCUGGGAUUAUAACUUUCAAAUCUGCCAUAAAAAAGGGACAGAAAAUGUCUUAGUUGAUGCACUGUCCCAUGCCCUGUAAUCAGUUUUUUUUGUCUUUGAAAGCUCCAAACAUUUUGUUUGGACUUGUAAGGGUGGGGGUGUUACAUGUCUGCAGGCUGUCUGCUUUUUUUGUUUUUUGUCUUUCCUCUUUUUGCUUGCCAUUUUCCCUAGGUACACAGACUGCAGGCUCGUGCCAAUUUGGGAAUCUCCAGCUAAUUGGAGGGAGGAGGCUUUGAAUGGACCAACCAGGAGUGAGGACACCCUUAUAAAAGAAAACUCACUUGUGGCUAUAGGUGGCCCUUUCCUCCUUGCUUGCUAAAGAUCAUUUGGUACAUAUGUUGUGCUGUCCUGGAGCAUUUGAUUUGUUUGUGCAAAGUUUGUGGUGGGAGAAAGAGGACUAGGUAAGUCUGGAGGACCCUGUACAUUUCCACACGUAUGAUGUUUUCUGUUAAAUACACUAGGUAAGAAGGUUGGGGCCACCCAUGUAUUGUUUGACCUUAUUUUGUGAGUUGAGGAUUGGGACCUUUUUUCUUCUUCUUUGUUUUCCUCCUGUAGUAAAGCUCAAAUAGGUUGUGAGAAAAAAAAAAAAAAAAAGGAUCAAGGAUCAAACCAGAACCCAACGGUCCAUUUCUCCCCCCACAUUGUUGUAUGGCUUGGAGACGUUCUUUUUUGAAAGAGAAAUUACCCAUUAAAACUGUUAUCUGCUA